This is a long non-coding RNA of Peromyscus leucopus (white-footed mouse), 1081 nucleotides long. RefSeq lists it as uncharacterized. NCBI's taxonomy places the organism in Eukaryota, Metazoa, Chordata, Mammalia, Rodentia, Cricetidae. The record is from RefSeq and is a predicted model, not a curated record. The transcript has 2 exons.
CCUUACUUCUCUCCCUCUGGGGAACUAAAAUCUCUCUGUUCUCCAGGGGAACCCUUUGAGCGUCUUCACUUUCAAGAUCUUGAGGCUCUGGAUUCUCUAGAAACUUUGACUGAACUUUCCAAGCCCUUCUUAAGUUCUGUGUUUCAGCAAAGGACCCACAGGCUUCAUGCUAAAUCUCUAGCCAUUAACCAGGAUGCAGAGAGAGGCCUCCCGUCUCUGCUCAGGACCCUUGAGUCUCCUCUGCAGUGUGUUUGGAGACUCCUUCCUACCAGGUUCCUGGAGCUCUGAUGCCUUCAGAUGUUCAUUUUCUAAGAAGCAGCUUUGCUCUCUCAUGUGAUCUCCAAUCCUACCGAGUGCUGUUGAGACAUCAUGUUUGGAAUAUAUUCCAUUUUAAACUCAUGUUGUUGACGACGGCAUAGCGAAGCGCAACCCCAAAUCCCUGUGCCCAGUCACCACCAUCUGACUCCAAAGAAGGAAGAGAGCGGAAGGAAGGGUCCUGGAAUAACAGCUUACCCUGCAUGACGCUUUCCUGCUAUGAAAGAUGAAGAUGUAGCCGAGACAACCACAAAACCAAGGUUGCAUCAAAAUACAAGUGAACGGCUGAUUUUGAGGCUGCCUUCCUCUUCAGUCAGAGUCAUUGCUGCCCUCCUGAGAGCCUGUCUGUGCUUGCUCGUCCACACACAUCCCAUCUUCCUCCCAGAGACAUUUCAAAUGUAAGAACUAGAAAGGCUAAGAGAACUUCGCAGAACUAGAAAGGCUAAGAGAACUUCGAAGUCGGAAUAGAGAUCCUUUAAGAAGAAUGCUAAAUAUUCUAUAUACUCCAUCCAGAGGAUUUAACUUAGAUGAAAGGCCUUGCUUGUGUGAGAAACUAUUCCUUUUCUUUUUGUCUAGCUCCCACCUCUCUCCUAACUGGCUCCUUCCCCCAGUACAUGAGCACAAAGAGGAGCCCUGUGAAGUUCAGAGAGAUGCCAGCAUCUGCCAGUUGAGAAGAAGCCUCAAAUUAAAUCAAUGUUUCCAUCACCUUGAUCUCGGACUCCAGUCUACACAAUUGGGAGGAUUAAAUUCUAAUCCUGUGACACCU